UCUCUCCCCAGGGGGGCGGUGAUGGGGUCUUUCCCUGGCUGGGUUGCAGGGGCUGUCGGUUUCUCCCGGGAGCCGCACACCUUUCCCGGCACUGAGGGUCCUUCUGAACCUGGCGUGGGUGGUGGGCAUGGGGGCCACCUCCCCUCUCCCCACUCCCCUCUGUGAGUUUCCCUUCAUUAACUUUCACGUGUCCUUUUUCGGACGCAGGCGCGCAUGCGUAGUUUUCCAAGUCCACGCCUUGUCCGUUGUUUUCUUGACGGAGUCUUUGGAUGAGCAGGCGGUUUCACAAAAGUGCAAGGUAACUGCUUUUAUGAUCAUCGCUUUUGGCAUCUCGUCCAGGGGGCCUCUUCCCGAGGUCGCUGAGGUCGGCUCACCGUCUCUGGGCUCCGGACACCCUUCGGUACCUGCUGUGGGCAUGUUUCUCCUUCGGGAAGAGCCAGGUGUCAGGUUCCCCACACGAGGCCUCGGUGUGCGUCCCGAUGCCCCAGCUCGCCCAGCGCCUGGCUGCCAGGCACGGCGCCCGGCCAGGGGCAGCCGCACACCAGCCUGGCACUGGCGAAACAGCGGACUUCCUGCGGUCCACCACCCCCAGGGAGACCCCCCGCCUCCAGGCUGGCCCUCCCUACGCCCUGGGGUUUCCUGCGGCCUCUUACGUCCUCUCCGUGAUUUCUCAGUUGUGGUACGGGUGCCCCCUAAUGUCCCAGGCAGGACGCUGACUGACGCAGUCGCAGAGGUGCUCUUCCAGAAGGUCUGUGACCAACUGCAACAUGAUGUAUAGCUCAUGUCUAUCUGCAUCUGUGGCUGUGUCUGUAUCUAAUCUAGCUGUGGAGACCUACCUACUUCCUAAAAACAUGGUAACCAUCGGGGUGCCUGGGCGGCUCAGGCAGUUAAGCCUGGGACUCCAGCGCAGGUCAUGAGCUUGUGGUCCGUGAGUCCGAGCCCUGUGUUGGGCUCUGUGCGGACAGCUCAGAGCCUGGAGCCUGCUUUGGAUUAUCUGUCUCUCUCUCUCAAAAAUAAAUGUAAAAAAAAAUUAAAAAUAUUAAAAUUU
Molecule: long non-coding RNA, 1048 nt
Filed under: Felis catus (domestic cat)
Lineage: Eukaryota; Metazoa; Chordata; Mammalia; Carnivora; Felidae
Description: lncRNA (ENSFCAG00000052831.1)
Source: RNAcentral